Molecule: ribosomal RNA, 465 nt
Filed under: uncultured bacterium
Lineage: Bacteria
Description: partial 16S ribosomal RNA
Rfam family: Bacterial small subunit ribosomal RNA
Source: RNAcentral
CCUACGGGUGGCAGCAGUGGGGAAUAUUGCGCAAUGGGCGAAAGCCUGACGCAGCGACGCCGCGUGAGGGAUGAAGGUCUUCGGAUCGUAAACCUCUGUCAGCAGGGAAGAACGGUCACUGUGCUAAUCAGCAGUGAAUUGACGGUACCUGCAAAGGAAGCACCGGCUAACUCCGUGCCAGCAGCCGCGGUAAUACGUAGGGGGCAAGCGUUAUCCGGAUUCACUGGGUGUAAGGGGAGCGUAGACGGCCAGGCAAGCCUGGAGUGAAAGCCCGGGGCCCAACCCCGGGACUGCUCUGGGAACUGUCUGGCUGGAGUGCGGGAGGGGCAGGCGGAAUUCCUGGUGUAGCGGUGAAAUGCGUAGAUAUCAGGAGGAACACCGGCGGCGAAGGCGGCCUGCUGGACCGCGACUGACGUUGAGGCUCGAAAGCGUGGGGAGCGAACAGGAUUAGAUACCCUUGUAGUC